This 2628-nucleotide ribosomal RNA is filed under the name Klebsiella pneumoniae. RNAcentral describes it as "bacterial LSU rRNA". It matches the Rfam family "Bacterial large subunit ribosomal RNA". Lineage: Bacteria; Pseudomonadati; Pseudomonadota; Gammaproteobacteria; Enterobacterales; Enterobacteriaceae. The record is from RNAcentral.
ACUAUCGUUAACUGAAUACAUAGGUUAACGAGGCGAACCGGGGGAACUGAAACAUCUAAGUACCCCGAGGAAAAGAAAUCAACCGAGAUUCCCCCAGUAGCGGCGAGCGAACGGGGAGCAGCCCAGAGUCUGAAUCAGCUUGUGUGUUAGUGGAACGGUCUGGAAAGUCCGACGGUACAGGGUGAUAGUCCCGUACACCAAAAUGCACAGGUUGUGAACUCGAAGAGUAGGGCGGGACACGUGGUAUCCUGUCUGAAUAUGGGGGGACCAUCCUCCAAGGCUAAAUACUCCUGACUGACCGAUAGUGAACCAGUACCGUGAGGGAAAGGCGAAAAGAACCCCGGCGAGGGGAGUGAAAAAGAACCUGAAACCGUGUACGUACAAGCAGUGGGAGCACCUUCGGGUGUGACUGCGUACCUUUUGUAUAAUGGGUCAGCGACUUAUAUUCUGUAGCAAGGUUAACCGUAUAGGGGAGCCGCAGGGAAACCGAGUCUUAACUGGGCGUUAAGUUGCAGGGUAUAGACCCGAAACCCGGUGAUCUAGCCAUGGGCAGGUUGAAGGUUGGGUAACACUAACUGGAGGACCGAACCGACUAAUGUUGAAAAAUUAGCGGAUGACUUGUGGCUGGGGGUGAAAGGCCAAUCAAACCGGGAGAUAGCUGGUUCUCCCCGAAAGCUAUUUAGGUAGCGCCUCGUGAACUCAUCUUCGGGGGUAGAGCACUGUUUCGGCUAGGGGGUCAUCCCGACUUACCAACCCGAUGCAAACUACGAAUACCGAAGAAUGUUAUCACGGGAGACACACGGCGGGUGCUAACGUCCGUCGUGAAGAGGGAAACAACCCAGACCGCCAGCUAAGGUCCCAAAGUCAUGGUUAAGUGGGAAACGAUGUGGGAAGGCACAGACAGCCAGGAUGUUGGCUUAGAAGCAGCCAUCAUUUAAAGAAAGCGUAAUAGCUCACUGGUCGAGUCGGCCUGCGCGGAAGAUGUAACGGGGCUAAACCAUGCACCGAAGCUGCGGCAGCGACACUAUGUGUUGUUGGGUAGGGGAGCGUUCUGUAAGCCUGCGAAGGUGNUGCUGGAGGUAUCAGAAGUGCGAAUGCUGACAUAAGUAACGAUAAAGCGGGUGAAAAGCCCGCUCGCCGGAAGACCAAGGGUUCCUGUCCAACGUUAAUCGGGGCAGGGUGAGUCGACCCCUAAGGCGAGGCCGAAAGGCGUAGUCGAUGGGAAACAGGUUAAUAUUCCUGUACUUGGUGUUACUGCGAAGGGGGGACGGAGAAGGCUAUGUUAGCCGGGCGACGGUUGUCCCGGUUUAAGCAUGUAGGCUGAUUGUCCAGGCAAAUCCGGAUAAUCAAGGCUGAGGUGUGAUGACGAGGCACUACGGUGCUGAAGUAACAAAUGCCCUGCUUCCAGGAAAAGCCUCUAAGCAUCAGGUAACAUCAAAUCGUACCCCAAACCGACACAGGUGGUCAGGUAGAGAAUACCAAGGCGCUUGAGAGAACUCGGGUGAAGGAACUAGGCAAAAUGGUGCCGUAACUUCGGGAGAAGGCACGCUGGUGUGUAGGUGAAGCCCCUGCGGGUGGAGCUGAGACCAGUCGAAGAUACCAGCUGGCUGCAACUGUUUAUUAAAAACACAGCACUGUGCAAACACGAAAGUGGACGUAUACGGUGUGACGCCUGCCCGGUGCCGGAAGGUUAAUUGAUGGGGUUAUCCGUAAGGAGAAGCUCUUGAUCGAAGCCCCGGUAAACGGCGGCCGUAACUAUAACGGUCCUAAGGUAGCGAAAUUCCUUGUCGGGUAAGUUCCGACCUGCACGAAUGGCGUAAUGAUGGCCAGGCUGUCUCCACCCGAGACUCAGUGAAAUUGAACUCGCUGUGAAGAUGCAGUGUACCCGCGGCAAGACGGAAAGACCCCGUGAACCUUUACUAUAGCUUGACACUGAACAUUGAGCCUUGAUGUGUAGGAUAGGUGGGAGGCUUUGAAGCGUGGACGCCAGUCUGCGUGGAGCCAACCUUGAAAUACCACCCUUUAAUGUUUGAUGUUCUAACGUUGGCCCCUUACCGGGGUUGCGGACAGUGUCUGGUGGGUAGUUUGACUGGGGCGGUCUCCUCCCAAAGCGUAACGGAGGAGCACGAAGGUUAGCUAAUCCUGGUCGGACAUCAGGAGGUUAGUGCAAUGGCAUAAGCUAGCUUGACUGCGAGCGUGACGGCGCGAGCAGGUGCGAAAGCAGGUCAUAGUGAUCCGGUGGUUCUGAAUGGAAGGGCCAUCGCUCAACGGAUAAAAGGUACUCCGGGGAUAACAGGCUGAUACCGCCCAAGAGUUCAUAUCGACGGCGGUGUUUGGCACCUCGAUGUCGGCUCAUCACAUCCUGGGGCUGAAGUAGGUCCCAAGGGUAUGGCUGUUCGCCAUUUAAAGUGGUACGCGAGCUGGGUUUAGAACGUCGUGAGACAGUUCGGUCCCUAUCUGCCGUGGGCGCUGGAGAAUUGAGGGGGGCUGCUCCUAGUACGAGAGGACCGGAGUGGACGCAUCACUGGUGUUCGGGUUGUCAUGCCAAUGGCACUGCCCGGUAGCUAAAUGCGGAAGAGAUAAGUGCUGAAAGCAUCUAAGCACGAAACUUGCCCCGAGAUGAGUUCU